Non-coding RNA from Betta splendens (Siamese fighting fish), 82 nucleotides. The record is from the annotation of a RefSeq genome assembly. NCBI's taxonomy places the organism in Eukaryota, Metazoa, Chordata, Actinopteri, Anabantiformes, Osphronemidae.
GUAGGUGUGGCUGAGUCGUUAACGCAAUGGACUAGAAAUCCAUUGGCGUCUCCCCGCGCAGGUUCGACUCCUGCCAUCUAUG